AUCCAGCUGACAAGUCCUGAAUAGGACGAAAUGCGCGUUCUGAAU
RNAcentral lists this non-coding RNA (45 nucleotides) under Schistosoma mansoni. The record is from RNAcentral. Lineage: Eukaryota; Metazoa; Platyhelminthes; Trematoda; Strigeidida; Schistosomatidae.